Molecule: long non-coding RNA, 507 nt
Organism: Micropterus dolomieu (smallmouth bass)
Lineage: Eukaryota; Metazoa; Chordata; Actinopteri; Centrarchiformes; Centrarchidae
Exons: 3
Source: RefSeq, a predicted model, not a curated record
AGGUUGAUGCUGUCAUCAUUAAUCGUCCCUUGAGCAGGAAUAGCAGAACAUCCUUGGCAGCAACGUUCACCUAUAGAUCACAGCAGGAUCCUGGAGUCCAAAAGCGCUUAUUUCAUAGAGCACCCUGGGAUGGAGAAGGAAGUUCACUCCACCGCAGGCUUCUGGUUCCUGUCGUGACACAUUCUGGAUGCCAAGGCAAUCCUGGGGGUGUUGUAAGGGAUGGGACAGCAGCUUGAGGAGAAGUUUCUGGCUCUCUGUUUGGAGGAGGGGACUGGGCUGAUCAAACUUCCACCUGGUGAUGGACAACCAAAGGAAUUUAAACUAGCAUAAAAUAUGUAAAUGCGGCAGAACAAGUGAAUGACUUCACACUGCAAGAAACAAUGAUUUUCUGUAAGAUUAUCGUACAGGUAGGAGCAGAUGUGGACACAUUCCUUGACGAUGGGUAAAUGGUGGUGAAACGGGAGGCCAACUACGGCCUGGCCUGCCAGCUCCAGUAACUCCAACCAG